GGAGAGAUGGCCGAGUGGUUUAUGGCACCGGUCUUGAAAACCGACGAGGGUAACACCUCCGGGGGUUCGAAUCCCUCUCUCUCCG
RNAcentral lists this transfer RNA (85 nucleotides) under Bacteroidales bacterium. RNAcentral describes it as "tRNA-Ser". It matches the Rfam family "tRNA". From Rfam's summary of the family: Transfer RNA (tRNA) molecules are approximately 80 nucleotides in length. Their secondary structure includes four short double-helical elements and three loops (D, anti-codon, and T loops). The record is from RNAcentral. RNAcentral also lists the same sequence under 1 other name. Lineage: Bacteria; Pseudomonadati; Bacteroidota; Bacteroidia; Bacteroidales.